Molecule: non-coding RNA, 463 nt
Filed under: Mus musculus (house mouse)
Lineage: Eukaryota; Metazoa; Chordata; Mammalia; Rodentia; Muridae
Description: Eukaryotic small subunit ribosomal RNA
Rfam family: Eukaryotic small subunit ribosomal RNA
Source: Rfam by way of RNAcentral
GUUCGCCAUUCGAGGUCUAUUCUCCUGCUGACUCCCAUUGGUGUGCUCUCUCCUGCCUGAUCCUGGUCUUCAGACCCAGCCUGGAGAGUCAGGGGUUCCCAUUUCUCCACCAUUGAGCCUUACAUGAGCUGCGGGCCACUAUAGUCCCACCAGCCAGUGAACCCUGCAACACUGGUUCAUGGGCUUCUACAUUUGUGACCAAAAGGCAGCUAGAAGUUAUGGGAUAGGACUUCAGUUCUAUUUUGUUGGUUUUCAGAACUCAGGUCAUGAUUCAGAGGGACAGAUGGGGGCAUUAUUAUUGCUACACUAGACUUGAAGUUCUUGGAUUGGCACAAGACAGACCCUAGCAAAAGCAUUGGCAAAGAAUGUUUUCAUUAAUCAAGAACAAAAGUCAGAGGUUUGAAGAUGAUUAGAUACCAUUGUAGUUCUGACCAUAAAUGCUAUGCAGUAGCCUUAUUCCCAU